UGCCAGCCGCCGCGGUAAGACGUAGGGAGCGAGCGUUGUCCGGAUUCAUUGGGCGUAAAGCGCGCGUAGGCGGAUCGUUAAGUCAGGUGUGAAAACCGGGGGCUCAACCCGCGGCCUGCACCUGAAACUGGCGGUCUUGAGUCUGGUAGAGGAAAGUGGAAUUCCCAGUGUAGCGGUGAAAUGCGCAGAUAUUGGGAGGAACACCAGUGGCGAAGGCGGCUUUCUGGGCCACGACUGACGCUGAGGCGCGAAAGCUAGGGGAGCAAACAGGAUUAGAUA
Molecule: ribosomal RNA, 279 nt
Filed under: uncultured bacterium
Lineage: Bacteria
Description: partial 16S ribosomal RNA
Rfam family: Bacterial small subunit ribosomal RNA
Source: RNAcentral